Lagopus muta (rock ptarmigan) is the source of this 422-nucleotide long non-coding RNA. RefSeq lists it as uncharacterized. The record is from RefSeq and is a predicted model, not a curated record. NCBI's taxonomy places the organism in Eukaryota, Metazoa, Chordata, Aves, Galliformes, Phasianidae. The transcript is spliced from 3 exons.
CCAAAGCUCUACAGUGAAAGGCCAUUGUUUAGAAAUGGCACAAUUGUUAGAGAUGGUGGCACAGCAAAAGGAGCACUGAGAGCAUCACAACCAGAGACGUGGACAGUACAAAACUGGAUCGUACUCCCUUUGGCAUUAAUGGAAAUUCUGCAGCUUACUCCCAUGGAAUUGCAGAGAAAAAACAAUGACAACAAAAAUGAUGUUUCCAAGACUAUAUGGCCAUGCACUGGCUCGAGUUCACGGGUCUCUUCGGGAAUGAAUCUUCCUGGAAUCGGGAGCACUUGUAUUUUAUCUCACGAAGAUGGCACGCUGCUUCGCUUUUAGUGAUUCGGAUCUAGAAGAGCAGCAUCACCAUUACAGCCCACGAACGGGAGCUCACCUUUUGUAUUGCUCCGGCUCAGAAGGAAGCUGCCCUCUGGCGG